GAUUCCAUUCUUCUUCCAGCUAUUAUCACGUUGAAAAAGACAAGGAAACAUGAAAUUCUGAUUUUUUAUUUAUUAAAUGUUUUAAAAACUUCUGAGAGAGAAUCAAUCACAUAGCUGGAAAAUAUGGGGUAUUAAGUGAAGAAGAACAUGCCAAUGACAUAUUAAGACCAAUCUUUUGCAUGUGUUAUUUCAGAUUGUCUAUAUAAGCAUAUUCGCGCGGAAUAUUAUUUCAUUGUUGUCAAUCACAUGACUGGAAAAUAUGGGGUAUUAAGUGAAGAAGAACAUGCCAAUGACAUAUUAAGACCAAUCUUUUGCAUGUGUUAUUUCACAUUGUUUAUAUAUAUAACUAGGAAGCAUAUUCGCGCG
Molecule: long non-coding RNA, 366 nt
Filed under: Brassica napus (rape)
Lineage: Eukaryota; Viridiplantae; Streptophyta; Magnoliopsida; Brassicales; Brassicaceae
Description: long non-coding RNA (BNAP_LNC022534)
Source: RNAcentral